GGUGUGGAAUCCUGCAGCAUCCUCGAGAGGACCUUCCACUCCAUCAUGAAGUGUGAUGGGGACAUUCGCAAGCACCUGUGUGCC
This 84-nucleotide microRNA precursor is filed under the name Otolemur garnettii (small-eared galago). RNAcentral's name for it is "miRNA (ENSOGAG00000026505.1)". Lineage: Eukaryota; Metazoa; Chordata; Mammalia; Primates; Galagidae. The record is from RNAcentral.